This 46-nucleotide non-coding RNA is filed under the name Schistosoma mansoni. Lineage: Eukaryota; Metazoa; Platyhelminthes; Trematoda; Strigeidida; Schistosomatidae. The record is from RNAcentral.
GCACUGCUGAGGAGUCCCAUAAUAGAACGAAACGGUCUUCCAAUGC